GCGGGGCCCCGCGAGGGGCCCGGCUUUGUGGAGGAUUAGAGGCUCCCGCCCCACCCUACCUGCGUGUGUGUCGCCUAUCUGGAACCGGGAGCUUCCCCAGCUGAGGACCACAGUGAGAGCAGAGAAGACCCAGGAUCAUAUUUGAAACCAUAAAAGCCACAUUAAGACACUAAGAAUAACUCGCAGAAAGACAUUUUCUAUGAAUUGGACGCAGAGUCACAAAACCCAGAAAAGUUCCCUGGUCUCUAUCUCAUGGGCCCGUGUCUGGGGAAGGGGGCCCGAUGUGAGGCUGGGGCCAGUGCCCAUCCUAUUUGAUCUUUAUCUUAAAUCCACUUCAAAAUGCUGUGGCUUGGUGGAUUGAAGUUUCGCCCCUUCCUGUAAUUAUUUGGUGUCUGGUAAAGUUUUUAUGAGUGUUUGUGCAAA
Molecule: non-coding RNA, 423 nt
Filed under: Pan troglodytes (chimpanzee)
Lineage: Eukaryota; Metazoa; Chordata; Mammalia; Primates; Hominidae
Source: RNAcentral